RNAcentral lists this ribosomal RNA (215 nucleotides) under uncultured bacterium. RNAcentral describes it as "partial 16S ribosomal RNA". It matches the Rfam family "Bacterial small subunit ribosomal RNA", at positions 28 to 221 of the family's 1533-position model. The record is from RNAcentral.
GACGAACGCUGGCGGCGUGCCUAAUACAUGCAAGUCGAACGAACUCUGGUAUUGAUUGGUGCUUGCAUCAUGAUUUACAUUUGAGUGAGUGGCGAACUGGUGAGUAACACGUGGGAAACCUGCCCAGAAGCGGGGGAUAACACCUGGAAACAUAUGCUCAUACCGCAUAACAACUUGGACCGCAUGGUCCGAGUUUGAAAGAUGGCUUCGGCUGU